RNAcentral lists this unclassified non-coding RNA (250 nucleotides) under plant metagenome. Its description in RNAcentral is "partial contains small subunit ribosomal RNA, internal transcribed spacer 1, and 5.8S ribosomal RNA". The record is from RNAcentral.
UUCUGCAGCGCAGCUUCGGAGACCUUGCACCCCGUAAGGGAGGCAGCACGACAGUAAAUAAAGCUCGCCGUGUGCAAGUUGGCUACUAAGCCAGCAACACAAUCGAAUUGACGGGGACCUCCUAAAGCCUGCAACACCAACCGUCCGGGAAAACUCGGGCGGGGCCCUCACGGGGUGGUAAGAGAGUGCAGGAUGAACAAUGGACGAUCCGCAGCGAAGACCCUACCGGCGAGAGCCCACGGGUAUCGUU